Long non-coding RNA from Gadus chalcogrammus (walleye pollock), 1879 nucleotides. RefSeq lists it as uncharacterized. The record is from RefSeq and is a predicted model, not a curated record. Lineage: Eukaryota; Metazoa; Chordata; Actinopteri; Gadiformes; Gadidae. The transcript has 4 exons.
GCAUUGACAAUUAUUUAUGAACGUUGAACCAUGAAAGAAUUGAAUUAUUUUUGUUCAGGGGUGGGUUUGCCCCUGAACAUUUAAUUUCAAGAUCAGUGUUCUACAGCGUUUGUCAAAUUCAGGACUGGCGCUGGAAGCUGUAGGUGGAGGGAAGACCAGGAAGGGUGCAGCUCUGCAGAUGCUGAAGGUGUGCCAAAGGGUCACGUGUGUUCCUGAAGGGACUGAGGCGACGCAGUCGGAGGUCCCGGCGGUGGCGGUCAGCGGGAGGUGUCGAGACCAACCAGCUCCUCGUCCAGGAAAGGUCUCGAUGGAAGAGCAGAUGGCUGUGCAGUUGCCAUGGUACAGAGACCCAGAGUAUGAUGACCGAACAAUGGAUCUACAACGAUGGCCUACUCCCCAUCCACCCUGAGGAUCCCUGGCUGCACCUACAAUCCAAUCUACACCAGACAUAACCACUUGGAGCUCAACAACUCCUACAACUCCUCCUGCCUCCUACACACCAUACUGUUACCACUUUACCAUUUUAACUUUAAAAAAAAAAAGUACUGUAAUUCACACCAUGUUGUAGGAAAAGCAUGUUUAGCUCAAUGAUUUAUACAUUCUAUUUCUGUGACCCCAACUAUUGUAUUUCUAACCCAGUUACCUCUGAACCCUCUUUCUAAGGGAGCGACUAAAGGGACAAAGCUGGAGCUAACCUGAGCUUAACAAUCGUUCUUUCAAAUGUCCUAAAUUGAAACACAUAAAAUGCCUAAAGUAACUUGUCUAACAAAACAAAAAGCCAACCUAAUACCCAAACUUAACCAUCUAACUCUAAAGAUCUCAAAUGCCUAAACUCUCUUACCUUAAACGAGUACCUAAACCGAACCAUUUAACUAAACAUCUCAAAGGCAUAAACUCGCUUACCUCAACCUAACCUAAUACCCAAACUUAACCAUCUAACUGAAGAGCUCAAACACCUAAACUCUUACCUUAACCUAGUACCUAAACUGAACCAUCUAACUAAACAUCUCUAAUAACUAAACUCUUUCCUAAUACCUAAACAAUCUUUAAUGCAAUCACUAAUGCCUAAACUUAAACAAACACCAAUAAUAAAAGUUAAGCAUCCUUAAUCUUAAACCCAAACCAGACUUGUCCCUGGGUCGCUCCACUUUGUGUCUUUGAAGGCAUCUCUUUUCCCCUGCAUCUGUACAUCAAGUACUUCAGAUGAUAUUUGAAAACUUGUUUCAUUAAUUAUCUCCAUCCUACCUGAAGGACCUGAUUAUUCCUUAUUUUGAAUAUGAUGUGCAUGUAUUUACCUGUAUGUCAAUUGUGGCACCCAUUGCACUCCUGACCAUCCCUGGAAGAAGGGAUCCCCUCCACUGCGUUUCUUCUCAAGAUUUCUUCCUUGCUGAUUCAAGGGAGUUUUUUCUUGCCCGUGUGGGGGCAUGGGUAAAGGGGGGUGUCACAAAUAUUUGGCCUGUUAAGCCCUUUGAGACUGUAAUGGUGAUUAAGGGCUAUACAAAUAAAAUUGAAUUGAAUAAAGAUACUUCAUCUUUACAGAUUUUGUUUUGGGGAAUUGGGACAGCAGAGCAUCUUAAGCAUCCUUACUGGUGAACCUGAUCUGACGAUAUCAAUCAUAGGACUAUGAAGCUGCAGAGUUCUUCCAAGAAAGGGUUCCAUUCCAGGAUAGCUUUUAACACACUUUAUUUGUUAAAGUAUUUUGGUACGGUAACUACGGAGCAAAAGGAGGUGGAAGCGUGUUGAGCACGUGCUGAGCGACUCCCAGCUGAUCAAAAACAUUAACCCUUUGUCUGGCAGCAGCUAGAAGAUUCUGAAGUCCAACUUCUCUGUCGAGAUUGAACUGAAAUGCAAUGCACAACAUGCAAUUUGUCCUUAGUUC